GUAAUUUUCAAGAUGGCGACGGCCUGUAGGACAGCAUUUGCGGGUGUAAAUGUUUUUCACUCCUCGUUUUUUGCACCUAAACAGGGGUGCCCAGGAUUUCUUGCCGGGGAUGUGCUGCGAUCCAAAAUCCAGAAACUGGACAUAACUGGUGUGUUUGGAAUGGCGUGCAGGCACAAGCAUCCGCUGAAAUUCCUGAACCUGAUGACAGGAGAGAAGUUUGUGGAUGGAAUGGAUGCUUCAGAUGUAUAGUUUAUGUAUGACAUUGGCUAUGAUGACUGAUGUUGAACUGGGGACCUGAAAGCAAUGCCGGAACCAAACAUCACAACGUUUCUUCGCUAUGACAUUGCUAUGUCAGAAAAACAGUCCCGAUCUGAUGGUGGACCCCACAUUUGCAGUGCCAGUCUUUCAUGCCUAUGCUCGUAAUGCUGACUGUCAAGUCACUGAUGGUACCAGGUAUGUGACUGGUAGUGGGCUUGCUGACAGAGAACAGAUGGAGAGGUUGUUGUUCUUGUUUUUGAAAGAUCACAAAAGAGAUGACACCAUCUCAUCGUGUUGACACCCUCACCGAUGCCCUCUUACGUGGUCCGGGAGAAGCAAGGUAUCAAUGUGUAACAGGAAAUCAGUUAAGUAUUGUGAUGACACAUUUUUCAGGAUUCUUUUAAUAUAAUUUUGCAAAGAACAUACUGAUCUAUUUGAAACAAUCUAUGAAAUGUAUGUUCUCCUUCAUGUGUUAUAGCAACGGCAAUACAACUCUGUCAGCAGAAGGUCCUGAAGGAGGAAACAGGCAAAGGAGGAGUUCCAGGUUUUGCUCAUAAUUUUUGUUUAUAUGUAAUGAUCCUUUUCUGCUAAUUCAAUCAGAUGAAUUGGAAGCAGGGCUUCAGUAGCUGGCGACAAGGCUUUCUCCUACAGAGCUCCUCUUUAUGGAAUGGUUUGCCGAUGUGAGAGAAUCAGACUGUCUCAACCGUCAAAUAUAGACUGAAGACUUCUCUUCUGUCAGUCCUAUGGUUGAGUGUCGUCUGGCCCAUUUGUGGGAAGGUGAACAGCAAGUUACUAGCCCUCACACCCACCCAUACACCUUCACUUCCUAAAACAUGAAAGCCAUCUGAUCCUAGAGUCUUGAAGUGUUUACACCCCUUAUAGCCAUUAUGGUCUUUACCUGGCCCUGCUGGUCAUCUAUGAAUGUUUCCUGUUCUGAUUAUUCAUCAGUCUGACUAGCAUGCACACCAUGAACUGCUUGUAUUGUGCUUCUACCUCUGCAUUGCUUGCCCUUUGGGGUUUUAGGCUAGGUUUCUGUAAAGCACUUUGAUGCUGUUUCACAACUGCUGAUGUAAAAAGGUCUUUAAAAUACAUUUGAUUAAUUUGGGGAUGAAAUCCUUGCUGUGGUUUCAUUGACAAUUCAAUAUUUUAGUCAAACUCCCAACAUUUUCCAUAAGACAUGUUUGUCUACUUUGUGGGCAUUGCACAUGUAGAAGUCAGCACAAAACUGGCAGUGUGGUUUUAUUUUGUUCGGCAAUAGAUUUAAUUAGGCCUGUGAUUAUGCAGCACACGGUCGGACGUGGAAGUUUGGACCCGUAAGAUAAAGGAAAACCUCAGACAAGAGGAUGUUGUUCCUUACCUGGCAGGAGAGAGACGUGGAAACUCUUGCAGAGCAACAUCGAGUCGCAUGCACAGACUAUUGCUGUGCAGCUCUCCAGAAAAUCCAGGUGGACAUCGGAGAGAAUAAAAAAGCAGAUCAUCUCCUACAAUGGAGGGAACAAGUCACCUCAAUUCCCCCUAAGACUGGAGUACAUGGAUGUUCUCCAGCAAGACCAUCCAGUCUGGUCCCAGGUGUCCAAAUGUUUGGGGGAUAGUCUGCUCUGGGCCAAGCAGAGUGCAGUGAUGCUGCACAAGGUCCUAAACGAUAUCAUAACCACCAUCGAUAAAAGACUGUACUGUGCAGCCAACUUCAUCGACCUGGCCAAGGCUUUUGACUCUGUCAAUCACUGUAUUUUUAUCGGCAGACUCAACAGCCUUGGUUUCACUAAUGACCUCCUCGCCUGGUUCACUAACUACUUCUCAGAUAGAGUUCAGUGUGUCAAAUCGGAGGGCCUGUUGUCCGGACCUCUGGCAGUCUAUGGGGGUGCCACAGGGUUAAAUUCUCGGGCCGACACUCUUCUCUGUAUAUAUCAACGAUGUCACUCUAUCUGCGGUUGAUUCUUUGAUCCACCUCUACGCAGACGACACCAUUCUGUAUACAUCUGGCCUUUCUUUGGACGCUGUUAACAAACCGCCAGACAAUCUUCAAUGCCAUACACCACUCCUUCCGUGGCCUCCAACUGCUCUUAAAUGCUAGUAAAACAAAAUGCAUGCUCUUCAACCGAUCACUGCCCACACCUGCCUGCCCUACUAGCAUCACUACUCUGGACGGUUCUGACUUAGGUAUUUAUAGUUGCCCACAUAUUCAGUGUCUGGCUAGACUGUGAACUCUACUUCCAGACUCCUAUUAAGCAUCUCCAAUCCAAAAUUAAAUCUAGAACCGGCUUCCUAUUUUGCAACAAAGCCUCGUUCAUUCAUGCGGCCAAACAUACCCUUGUAAAACUGACUAUCCUACCGAUCCUUCACUUCGGCGAUGUCAUUUACAAAAUAGCCUCCAACACUCAGCAAAUUGGAUGUAAUCUAUCACAAUACCAUCCGUUUUGUCACCAAAGCCCCAUAUACUACCCACCACUGCAACCUGUAUGCUCUCGUUGGCUCGUCCUUGCUACAUUUUUGUUGCCAAACCCACUGGCUCCAGGUCAUCUAUAAGUCUUUGCUCGGUAAAGCUCUGCCUUAUCUCAGCUCACUGGUCACCACAGCAACACCCACCUGCAGCACGCGCUCCAGUAGGUAUAUUUCACUGGUCAUCCCCAAAGCCAUCACCUCCUUCCAGUUCUCUGCUGCCAAUGACUGCCAAUGACUGGAAGGAAUUGCUGGAAGGAAUUGCAAAAAUCAUUGAAGUUGGAGACUUAUAUCUUAUAUCUACACAGCCCAUCUGUAAAUAGCUCAUCCCAAUAGCUCAUCCCCUACCUCAUCCCAAUAUAUUUUUUUAUUUUUCUGCUCUUUUGCACACCAGUAUAGUAUUUCUACUUGCACAUCCUCAUCUGCACAUAUCACUCCAGUGUAAAUUGUAAUUACUUUGCCGCUAUUGGCUUAUUUAUUGCCUUACAUCCUUACUUCAUUUGCACACACUAUAUACAUUUUUUUCUGUUGUGUUUUGACUGUUUGUUUAUCCCAUGUGUAACUCUGUGUUUUUGUUGCACUGCUUUGCUUUAUCUUGGCCAGGUCACAGUUGUAAAUGAGAACUUGUUCUCAACUGGCCUAUCUGGUUAAAUAACGGUGAAAAAAUAAAUAAAAAAUGUGCCUUAGGGCAGCUAAGGACAGGCACCUUAUACAGGCAGACCUACACAAUGUAGGUUCGGUCAGCACAUAUGUAUAGGAGCACAGUGAUUCAGAAGAUGAAAGUGGUUGAGGUGUGUGUGUGUUAUAUAGGGACAAACUAUACACUGAGUAUUCAAACCAUUAAAAAUACCUUACUAAUA
Molecule: long non-coding RNA, 3557 nt
Organism: Oncorhynchus masou masou (cherry salmon)
Lineage: Eukaryota; Metazoa; Chordata; Actinopteri; Salmoniformes; Salmonidae
Exons: 5
Source: RefSeq, a predicted model, not a curated record